This 449-nucleotide ribosomal RNA is filed under the name uncultured bacterium. RNAcentral's name for it is "bacterial SSU rRNA". It matches the Rfam family "Bacterial small subunit ribosomal RNA", at positions 340 to 779 of the family's 1533-position model. The record is from RNAcentral.
UACGGAAGGCAGCAGUGGGGAAUAUUGCACAAUGGGCGCAAGCCUGAUGCAGCCAUGCCGCGUGUAUGAAGAAGGCCUUCGGGUUGUAAGGUACUUUCAGUCGUGAGGAAGGUGUUAAGGUUAAUAACCUUAGCAAUUGACGUUAGCGACAGAAGAAGCACCGGCUAACUCCGUGCCAGCAGCCGCGGUAAUACGGAGGGUGCGAGCGUUAAUCGGAAUUACUGGGCGUAAAGGGCACGCAGGCGGUUAAUUAAGUUGGAUGUGAAAUCCCCGGGCUUAACCUGGGAAUGGCAUUCAAGACUGGUUAGCUAGAGUCUUGUAGAGGGGGUAGAAUUCCGAUGUGUAGCGGUGAAAUGCGUAGAGAUGUGGAGGAAUACCGGUGGCGAAGGCGGCCCCUGGGACAAAGGCUGACGCUCAUGUGCGAAAGCGUGGGGAGCGAAACAGGGAUU